Papaver somniferum (opium poppy) is the source of this 1055-nucleotide long non-coding RNA. RefSeq lists it as uncharacterized. Lineage: Eukaryota; Viridiplantae; Streptophyta; Magnoliopsida; Ranunculales; Papaveraceae. The transcript has 5 exons. The record is from RefSeq and is a predicted model, not a curated record.
AUAACCAAAUUGUAUCAUCCAUUAGUAUUGAGAUAUCUCAUGAUGAGUACGCAUUACUGGGCUCCUGCCAAUUACUCACAAGAACAGCUUGAAUUUGCAUCUGAGUCUAUUUUCUACUUGUAUAAGACUUCACUGGACUGUGAAAAGGCCUUAUUUUCAUUUCGAGAGAAAAACCCCGUGAUAGCAAAGUGCUAAAAUAUUCGACUAACUCUUGAGGCUCAGAAGUGCAUCGAUAAAUUAAUGAAUGAUUUCUACGCUAAAAUGUCAGAUGAUCUCCGCACUCGAGACUUCUGGAAUGCUGCUGCUCUUGAGGAUAUUUGAAGCUCACCGACCAGCUCAAGAGGACUUUGCUGGAUUGUGAAGAGGCCUUAUUUCAUUUCGAGAGAAAAAUCCCCUGGUACUGAAGUGCAUAACUGUUCGACUAACUCCUGAGGCUCAAAGUGCAUGUAUAUAUUAAAGAAUGAUUUCUACGCUACAAUGUUAGAUGAUCUCCAUACUCGAGACUUCUUGAAUGCUGUCGCUUCAAGGAAAUUAUGAAGCUCAUGAACCAGCUCAAGAAGGAAUUCCUUUUCUGAAACUUUUGAAGUGAUUUCUGGGAAAGUCUUGUGCAUUUCCCGGCAGAGCAGCACCAGCUUUCAUUGUUCCUGUCCCUUGCUGAAAUGGAGAAAGAAGUGAAGCUGGUUUUAUUUACUCUUGGACUAAUGUCAUUUUUAUCCUAUUCAGAGUUCUGAGGCAAUUCAAAGGAUUCGACAGAGAGCAAAGUUGACUGAGGAAGAUGUUUCGUAACAAAUAAACUUAGGACCCAGGCAAAGAAAGACAAGGAAUUUUCGAAGAGUGACCAAAUCAGGCUUGACUUGACCGUAAAGGGCAUUUUUCUUAUGGAUUUGGAUGACAAAACUCUAUGGAGACCUGAAAUAAACAAAGUCCUCAAAGGAGAAGCAAAUUGUUUGUUUUUGAUGUAUACUUCUCUCGAGUUGAAUCAAUUUUUAGUGUGAUAUCAUUAGGUAGCAGAUAGAACAUUAACUCAAACCAGGGUUAUUAUUUGUUUGCCUUAU